This 378-nucleotide unclassified non-coding RNA is filed under the name uncultured fungus. Its description in RNAcentral is "partial contains small subunit ribosomal RNA, internal transcribed spacer 1, and 5.8S ribosomal RNA". The stretch from base 1 to 73 matches the Rfam family "Eukaryotic small subunit ribosomal RNA", at positions 1759 to 1831 of the family's 1831-position model. Lineage: Eukaryota; Fungi. The record is from RNAcentral.
GCAAACUUGGUCAUUUAGAGGAAGUAAAAGUCGUAACAAGGUUUCCGUAGGUGAACCUGCGGAAGGAUCAUUACAGUGCCGCGGGGUGCGCCGGUUCCGGCCUCCGCCCCGCACACGGCCACCCGUGUCUACCGUACCUUUUGUUGCCUCGGCGGGCCCGUCGCUCCUUCCCUCCGUGUCCCCUCUCGGGGGGCUCCGCGGUGGGAAGGCGCGACCGCCGGGCGGCACCUGCCGCCCAGCCCGCGCCCGCCAGAGGACCACACGAACCCUUUUUUAAUGAAUCCUGUGACGUCUGAUUUUGAGAUUUGAUCAUUAAAUCAAGUUUACAAAACUUUCAACAACGGAUCUCUUGGUUCCGGCAUCGAUGAAGAACGCAGC